This is a long non-coding RNA of Cyprinus carpio carpio, 1085 nucleotides long. NCBI's taxonomy places the organism in Eukaryota, Metazoa, Chordata, Actinopteri, Cypriniformes, Cyprinidae. The record is from Ensembl.
UAUAGAGGACAGAUGGGGUUGCUUGCAAAGUAGCUUGGUGCUCAAUGACUGUUCUUGCUAGUGACAAGGCUUCCCUUUGUUCAGACCUGGCUUGCUCGAGCGCUCCUGCCUGUUCUGCAAACCUUCUUUGCAUUUCUACCAUCUGUUUUCUCAGAUCUUCAAGCUCUGCCAUUCUUCAGCUUGUAGGCCUGGGACUCGUGACACACAAACACAAAAAAAAAAGUUAAACACACUAAUUCUAUCCUGUUCGUGACGCCAAAUGUAACGGGUGCGUUAGGGCCCGCUUAGUAGGGGAAAUUAAUGUUACCUCGGAAGACUUUAGGAGGAAAGGAUCUUGGUACCCCCACCUCAGUGCUUUGAGUCUCAAGGUAUAGGUUAUGUAUACGUGUUACCUUACUCUGUUGUAUAAUAUACUAAAGGGACCAGAGAGUGUGGCUUCAGUUAAGUCUACAAAUACUUGUAUUAAUUUGGUGGCCGCCUGAAGUGUAAAUAUGUGAGGCAAUUUAACAAUACCAAUUCACAUUCCCACCACCCCAGUACCUAACAGAGCAAGUGAGACGCCCCUACUCCAAGGUAAGUUCAACAAUGAUAGUACUCUUGAGAUUUACUUUAACAUUCAAUCAGAUUUAAUUAUCUCCUUUUAAAAUGUUUUUUCUUUUGCAGAGCAGGAAAAGAAGAUCAGAACAAUACAUGAAAAAUGUAAAAAAACAAAUAAAACAAUGUUGCUCAAAUAAAUUUGUCACUAUAAUCUUUACCCGUGGUGCACCACCAACUGUUUAACCAUAAAACUUGUGUUCACCUCUGGAAUAACAAUCAGUUCACAAAUGAUUCACUUCAAAUAAACUCUGAAAUAACUUGACUUAAUUCAAAUGAACUCUGAAAUGACUCUUGCGAUUCGACAGAUGAUUCAAUUUUCACAUCAAACCCAGUUCAGUUACCUAGUUCAAGUUCGCAGUUCAGUCUAUAUCAGUAAGAGUUCAUGUAUGUAUAUGUGCAAUGAACGUUGUACCAGUCUUUAGCGAUGAUGAAAUUGAAGAAAUUACUUGCAAUGACUUGAGAUGACCUGUAAUAGAGAAAUGAACAGC